This 494-nucleotide ribosomal RNA is filed under the name Triodontella sp. 836015. Its description in RNAcentral is "partial 16S large subunit ribosomal RNA". It matches the Rfam family "Bacterial large subunit ribosomal RNA", at positions 1844 to 2600 of the family's 2925-position model. Lineage: Eukaryota; Metazoa; Arthropoda; Insecta; Coleoptera; Scarabaeidae. The record is from RNAcentral.
UAUAAAGUCUAAUCUGCCCAAUGAGGAUUUAAAUGGCCGCGGUAUUUUGACCGUGCAAAGGUAGCAUAAUAAUUAGUUUUUUAAUUGAAAGCUGGAAUGAAAGAUUGGACGAGAGAAUUGCUGUCUCUAGUUAAUUUAUUUUAAAUUUUAUUUUUAAGUAAAAAAGCUUAGAUUUAUUUGAAAGACGAGAAGACCCUAUAGAGUUUUAUAAGUUAUUUUUAUAUUAAUUAAUAGGGAUUUUUUGUUAAUAUAAUUUAUUUUAUUUUGUUGGGGUGAUAGAAAAAUUUAAUGAACUUUUUUUAUUUAUGAACAUUAAUUUAUGGUUAUUUGAUCCAAUAGUUUUGAUUGCAAGAUUUAAUUACCUUAGGGAUAACAGCGUAAUUAUUUUUAGAGUUCUUAUCGAAAAAAUAGGUUGCGACCUCGAUGUUGGAUUAAAAUUAACUUUUGGUGUAGAAGCUAAUAGGUUAGGUCUGUUCGACCUUUAAAAUUUUACA